GUCUGCGAUAGCAGAAAGAGGUUAUGAUGUCAAAACAUUAAUGUUGCUAUUCUGAUUUUCAACUCCAUGACGAUUAGGAUGUCGUGGUUAUACCGAUUCGACGCAAGUAAUGAUGAUAUGCUAAUGUUAUGUUCAACGAUGGUAAAAAAAAUUUAACUUGUAUUUCCUACUAUAAUAUUAAUUCCGGUUGUCCAUCUUAUUACAUCACAUAUAUUCGUCUUUCUGUUUCAAUUUUCGAUUUGAGCUCAUCGCGUUAUGGCUGGAUUUCGAUUACACUGUGAUUUUUUCUAAAAAAGGUCUGUAACAAUGUGAUAUGCAUUAUGUUGUUAUUAUGAUUGUUUGUACGCGAUAAUGACUUGGAUCGAGAUUGCUUUGGUAUCCACCGCUUUCAUUGCGACCUCUAUCCAUUUGUAUUCAUCAUCAAUGUGACGAUUCGGUUUCGACGGUGGAAUUUCCUGUGAGUCAAUACCGUUAGCUAUCAGUUUGAGACUGUGUCACUAUCAUAUUCUUUGGUUGUGUUGGUUGAAAUUUUGUGUGCAGGAAAAGAUCUCAAACAUAGAGGGGCCGUUUAAGUAGGCCGAAUAUAAGGAAAUGAGAGGGAGACGGUACGAACACCAACACACCAUAAAUAAGUCCUUCUUCCCAUGUUAUGCUUUCUUUAAAUCUUAUUUUUGUCCAUUUAAGAAUCAUUUCUGAUAUUAACUUAGUUUUGUUUUUUAUGGAUUAAAAAUUGGUCAUACCUUUAUUU
This 748-nucleotide long non-coding RNA is filed under the name Lathyrus oleraceus (garden pea). RNAcentral's name for it is "Pisum sativum (pea) long non-coding RNA (PSAT_LNC023405)". The record is from RNAcentral. Lineage: Eukaryota; Viridiplantae; Streptophyta; Magnoliopsida; Fabales; Fabaceae.